Molecule: unclassified non-coding RNA, 211 nt
Filed under: Hevea brasiliensis (rubber tree)
Lineage: Eukaryota; Viridiplantae; Streptophyta; Magnoliopsida; Malpighiales; Euphorbiaceae
Source: RNAcentral
GCGGUGUGGGUGCCGUGGCCGUCGCGAUCGCGGGGUGAGGCGUACUCGUGGGUGGCGCCUGGGGCGCCGGCAUGGAAGCCGCGCUCGAAGCUGCGGGCGCCGAUGAGCUUGCGGUUGCAGAGGGAGGGAGGGAAGUCGACGCCGGGCUCGCAUUCGCCCCGCCAGCGAGCGGGGAUGGGUGGGAGGUUUGCGUCAGAGAAGCUGGGGGAUU